Molecule: long non-coding RNA, 651 nt
Filed under: Mytilus galloprovincialis (Mediterranean mussel)
Lineage: Eukaryota; Metazoa; Mollusca; Bivalvia; Mytilida; Mytilidae
Source: RNAcentral
UACAACCAAUUUUUUUAGUGGAAGAAGACGUCAAGUCUUCUGAAGACUUAAGGGGCCGACCAUUGGCUUUGAGUCUCCGUAUGCCGCAUUCAUUUCGUGUAUUACAAUUUCAAAACAACUUAGAUUCCUGACACCGAUUUUUACACAUGAUUGGGCAUCUGAAUCAUUUAAUUUGUAAAUUAUGAUUGUAAAACAAUCACUAUCGUAAAUAUGACCCUUUUAUUUAUGUAAAUUAUUAGAUUUCAUCUCAUCCACAUGAACGUAUUUUGUUUACUUGUAACAGGAUGUUUUAACUGUAGAUAUUUGUAUUACGCAUGCGUGAAUUUGGUAUCGGUACAACUCGCCCUGUUUACAAGUUCGCCCUUGAAGUUACGAAUUUGCAAUCCUGCAGACAAGAAGAUUUUAUUUUUAUAUAAAUAAAAAGGAUAUAUAAAGUGUUAUCUUUAUUCAUGGGUUUCCUUUGUCAUGUGAAUUAGAUGCCCUUCGUAACAUACAUGUGAACCUCCCGUUUAGGAGAAAAAACUCCCGUGUAUGAAAUUUUUCAGACGCCAUAUUUGAUCAUUUCUUACUACUGUACGGGUGUAAUUGACACCUGUGUUAAAUUUUACCUGAACAUCAAAGAAGAUGUAUAAUUAUAUGGCUUCACUUGAC